GGGGGGCCGGAGCUCGGCGGCUGCCGUCUUACGACAGAUCCUGGAAAGAGGAUCAAGGUGGGGCCCGCCCCGCUCCGCGCCCCGCCGACGGGGCGGCCCGGGCUCGGGGGAGGCCGCCGGGAGCGCGGCCCCGUCGGCGCGGCCGGGCCGUGGGAGAGCUGCAGGCGGCGAGGCCCGAGCGGCGAGCUCCAGCGCGGCAGGGUAAAGGCAUUUCUGGUAAUUGAAACCUGCUCUGGAAACGUGCGCGAGGAGAGAGCCCUAAGCAGGAACACAAGCAGCGCUAUCGGCCAAAGGAGGUUUUACCCCGUCGGGCCAGGAGAUGAGGACGCCUCGGUACGAGCCUUGGUUUACACUUGUGUUCAAUUAACGUUAAAGAACAGCAUGAGAUUAAAUUGACCCUGUGCUGUUUUAUAAAAGGCUUAGGACAUGUUUACAAACAGCUCUGCAUAAAACCUGGCCACCAGCAAGGGCCCCGCGGUCCUGUACUCGCACGCACGCACGCACGCGGCGCUCGCUGCGUUGCACCCCCUGGGCACGGGGCAGCCCCAUGGGAUGGGUGGGCAGCGUGGGGCCAGGCAGAGGCCGAGCCACCCCCACCUCCACCUGCAGCUCUGCCCUUUGCCCCCGCAGCCCGAUUCAGCAGACCCGUGCCCGGUUCGUGCAGUCGGUAGCGUUUUCUGGCAGAGCCGUGCGGGCGUCCCCCUGGCCCCCGUGCUGGCAGCGCCGCAGGAAUGCAACACCUUGACUUCCUAAUUCCUCCGGCUGCGGGGACGCUGCUGCCAGCCAGCACGCGGAAGGGCAAAAGCCAGGGGAAGCCCAGCCGGGGCCGGGCAGCCUAAGGGCUGUGCCAGGCCGUGUCCAGAGGCACAGCCUUCAUGCAGGGACAUGCGAUGGCCGCUGUGAAGCCCCCUGUGUCCUGCUGGGUCUGUCCUCACCGGAGCUGGCCGUGCAGAAGAGGAGCAGCAAGUGCCAAGAGGGGCUGGUGCAGUUGCAGGGACAGAGGCUCUGCUGCUGCAGACACAUGCUCGUCCUGGUGUCUUUUUCAUCUGUGAGGCAGGCCAAGCAGUGGAUUCAAUUAUUUUUUCCUAGCACAUAAGCCACUAAUCACUUACCGCAUUAAAAAAAGCCUCAUCUCCACAACUUUUGUUCCCAUUUUGCCCAAUUUAAACUCAAAUUUAAAAAAAAGCUUCAUUUUCUUUCUUUUUUUUUUUUUUUCAAUCACAAAGAUGCGAUCUUAGCUCCAUUGACUCGCUAAUUGUAAGCAUUCAAAUGGCCGGGUUUAAAGUUACACUUAGCAGCUGUGAAACAUUAGGGUGAAGUGAUUACAACCUACUGGAGGAUACCGAACAUUUUUACAAUAUCUCAGGAGCAUAAGGGAAAGACAACAGGAAAUGGCGCAAACUUUCCUACCCUGCACAGUAACAAGCCAAAGCAAAGAAGUGAGAAAAGAAAUGCAGAGACGCAGUGUGGACACAGCUUGGAUCCUCAAAAAAAACAAAACAACAACAACAAAAAUACCCUAAUGAAGCCCCAUGAAAGCACCACACGUUUAUCCCCAUACUUGGGGAGGGCGGGGAGGUUUCACAGCUGCUCCAAGCAGCAAAAUCCUCCUGCAGGCUCCCUGCCCUGCCCCGGCUGCCUCCCCACGCUGGCCUUUGUGCGGCCUCGUUGCCAGCGAGAUUUGGGCAGGGUCUGAGGCAGAGGAGGGGACAGUGUAGGGACAGAGGGGACAUGGUGUGGGUCUCUGCUCCCACACGCAGGGCAGAAGCACCUGGAAGCUCCCGACCCCUCUGGUCCUCGACUGAGCCCCAACUCCAAGCAGUGGCGUUUGGAGAACCUCCGACUUCCCACUUCUUUCCAAGCGGCCAAACAUUCCCCUGAACUGAAGCACGCUACAUGCGUGUGUUUAUUACAGAAACCAGGGUAGAAUAAGAAAGCAAUAUUUCAUGUUAAUUCAUGAAAUCUGAACUCAACUUUUAAUAGAAGAGCUCCACUUUAUGCACAGAGUGAUAUACAGUCCGCCCCGCUUUAAAUGAGACGUUUUGCCUUUUGAACUCAGCAGGAGGCCGCUGCUUACUACUACUGGAAACAGUUUAAAACCCUCCGAGUCCCGCAUGUCUUUUGGGCUCUUUUCGAGACAGUGUUUUAUAUCAUGGGACAGCAUUCUUGCUGCGCUGCCUGUGACGGCCUGCCAGCUGCGCCCUUUGAAACUUCGGCAUUUCAGAAGCUCACCUGGAUUAUUUCCCCCACAACGCGAGACACUCGGCCAAAACCCUGUGAGGACCACGAGCCUCUUGCGGCGUUUUGCUCCAACUGGGCUUUGGAGCGGGUCCAGGGGGGUUGAAAACCUGGUUAAAUCGGAGUCGGGGGCAAACCUCCCUCAGGCCACAGCUUUACCCAUCCCCGGCUGCUCCUGGGUGCUGCCUGGGGGCCCCAAUCCCACUCCCAGGAGCCAAACCCCAAGGGCGCAGCAAGGCCCUGGCUCCCAGGCCCCACACAGCUCCCACACAAGGCCCUGGUGCCCGGGGGCGUGCAGGGCAGGUGUCAGGUCCAGGAAGCUCUUGGUGCCAGCUCAAGGGGGCUUUGAGUGGCUGCCCGAGCCUGGCACAUGAGCUGGGGCAGUGUCAGGCCCACACGUGUGUGUCCAGCACUGCGAACACCUUGGGAACGUCGAAUCGGAGCCUACAGAGUUACUGUUCCAACACACUUGGCUUUCACUGGCUCACCGAAGAGCUGGAACUCGGUUAUUCUGCUGGGUCAUCUGUGAAAGUAUCAAAUUAAAGUUAAAUUAGCCACCUCA
Molecule: long non-coding RNA, 2800 nt
Organism: Cygnus olor (mute swan)
Lineage: Eukaryota; Metazoa; Chordata; Aves; Anseriformes; Anatidae
Exons: 2
Source: RefSeq, a predicted model, not a curated record